AUGGCGUCGUCUGCUCAUGCAACCAUGUACGCUGAUCGGUUCCCGUCGGCUGAGUUGCAGCAGCGGCCGGCCGACUACCAGCUCAAAACCUGGGACUAUGACUCCAUCUGCUCCAUGAAGCAGCAGGCGCAACAAGACCACGAGCAUAGCAAGCAAAGCUCACUCCAAUCGAGCUUGAAGCAGAAAGUGAGGCGGCUUCUGCUCGAGGAGGAAGAAGAGCUGGCUACUAGGCUCAUAAUCAUGGAUCAACUGCAAAGUCUCGGUGUAGCAUACCACUUCGAGGAGGAGAUCAGAAAUAUCCUCAUGUCCAUGCAUGUGCAUGAUGCACACCUUCAACUCAAGCAUGACCUCUCAUCAACAGCACUGCUAUUUAGAAUGCUCAGAGGACAUGGAAUCUCCGCGUCCACAGAUAUGUUGAUUGCAUUCAGGGAUGAGAAUGGUGAUUUCAAAGCAGAGAACCCCAAGGACAUUGAUGCUUUUGUUGCACUCCACGAAGCUUCCUACCUGGCCUUCCCAGGAGAGGCCAUGCUCGACGAAGCAAGAGCAUUCGCCGUGAAGAAACUCGAAGAACUGAUGCCAUCCAUGUCGACCUUCAUGGGGCCUGCUAGCCAAACAGAAAUACAAGGAGACCUCCCGCUGCACUGGAGAGUUCCCAGGCUGCAGGCAACAUGGUCACUGAAGCAACACGGCUACAACGACGAGAGGAACCUGAGUAUGGAUCCUUCCAUUCUACAGCUGGCUGCGGUUGACUUCAACCUCGUGCAGGCCGUCCAUGGAGCGGAGCUCGUGGAGGUGACAAAUUGGUGGAAGGAGACCAGGCUGGGCGAGAAGCUACCGUUCGCGAGGGACCGUCUUGUGGAGUGCUUCUUCUGCGCGGCAUCCAUCGCGCCGGAGCCAUGCCUCGCCGGCUGCCGCGAGGUGCUGGCAAAGGUGGGCUCCCUCAUAGUCCACCUCGACGACGUCUACGACCUAUACGGCACGCUCGACGAGCUGGCCGCCUUUACUGAUGUCGUCGGUAGGUGGUGCGAGUGGGACGACGAUGCGCUUCUGCCGUUGCCGGAGUACAUGAAGGCCAUGUACUCUGCCAUCCGGUCAACGUCGAUGGAGGCAGCAGAUCGUGUGAUGAACGAGCAGGGAUACGAUGCGCUCCCGCUCUACAAGAAAGCAUGGCAUGAGCUGUGUAAGGCGUUCCUCAUUGAAGCCAAGUGGCAACACGAGGGAGGGAUGCCAAGCUUGGAGGAGUACCUCGAGAACGGGUGGGUCACGUCCACGGGGCCUCUCCUGCUGCUCCACGCUUUCACCAUGCUCCAGCAGCAAGAGCAGACGGAUUCAUGGCUGCGCAACCACGAAGACGGCGACGACAUGGUCACGGCGUACCCGAAGCUGGUCGAGCUAUGUUCCAUGAUCUUCCGGCUCUGCAACGACUGCGCGACCCACGAGGCCGAGUCGGAGCGGGGUGAGGCGGCGUCGGCCAUCACCUGCCGCAUGGGCGGUGCCACGAGUAAGGAAGAGGCCCGGGCUGCGGUGGCGGACGCCAUUGCCGAGACCUGGAAGAAGGUGAACAGGGAGGUCGCCUUGAGCAGCAGCACCGGGACCUGGAGCGCGGCCAACCGCGUCUGCGUCAACCUGGUGAGGACCAUCCAAUGCAUCUAUCAAGACGGAGACAGCAUCACCUCGCCCAAGGACAGCCGGAAACGACUGGUCAUGGACAUGCUCUUCACGCCUCUUGAUCUAGACAUUUGUGGCGCGUGGUAG
This 1755-nucleotide ribosomal RNA is filed under the name Triticum aestivum (bread wheat). RNAcentral describes it as "partial small subunit ribosomal RNA". The record is from RNAcentral. Lineage: Eukaryota; Viridiplantae; Streptophyta; Magnoliopsida; Poales; Poaceae.